Molecule: ribosomal RNA, 520 nt
Filed under: uncultured Glomus
Lineage: Eukaryota; Fungi; Glomeromycota; Glomeromycetes; Glomerales; Glomeraceae
Description: SSU rRNA
Rfam family: Eukaryotic small subunit ribosomal RNA
Source: RNAcentral
AGCAGCCGCGGUAAUUCCAGCUCCAAUAGCGUAUAUUAAAGUUGCUGCAGUUAAAAAGCUCGUAGUUGAAUUUCGGGACUAAUAUGUCGGUCGUGCCUCGGUACGUACUGGUUUAUUGGUUUCCUCCUUUCUGAAGAACCAUGAUGUCAUUUAUUUGGUGUCAUGGGGAAUCAGGACUGUUACUUUGAAAAAAUUAGAGUGUUUAAAGCAGGCUCACGCUUGAAUACAUUAGCAUGGAAUAAUGAAAUAGGACGUUUGAUUCUAUUUUGUUGGUUUCUAGGAUCGACGUAAUGAUUAAUAGGGAUAGUUGGGGGCAUUAGUAUUCAAUUGUCAGAGGUGAAAUUCUUGGAUUUAUUGAAGACUAACUACUGCGAAAGCAUUUGCCAAGGAUGUUUUCAUUAAUCAAGAACGAAAGUUAGGGGAUCGAAGACGAUCAGAUACCGUCGUAGUCUUAACCAUAAACUAUGCCGACUAGGGAUCGGAUGAUGUUAAUUUUUUAAUGACUCAUUCGGCGCCUUAC